CUUGCAGCGUCCAGAGCGCGGGAGCCACCACAGGAGCAGGGGCAGGAGCCAGCUUCGUCGCGUGGGAGCCGCUGGAGCCGCAGGACCAGAGCUGCUGUUGCAGAAGCCCCCAAGGCCUCCGCCAACGCUGCCUCAGGAGCCAAAGCCGCCGCCAGAGCCAAUGCAGAAACCAACGCCACCGCCGCCCUAAGCCAAUGUUGUGGCCUUGAGACCACAGCAACCUUAAACGCCACGUCUAAAACAUAGGAGCCGCUGCCACCAUCGUUGCCGCUGCCGCCGCAGCUGUUGCCAAUGCAGCUGCAAGACCUUGGAGCCUCUGCCGCCGCUGCUGGAGCACAAGAACCGUGGUAGACAAUGCCAGCUGGGGAGAAGGAGCCACUGCCGCCAGAACACGAAGCCGCCGCCCCCAGGUCCAACAACUGCUGGAGACAACGCUGCGCCAGGAGCACGGGAGUCACCGCUCCCAGAGCACAGGAACCAUUGGAGCCUUCAGCGUGUCCAGAUCAUGGGAACCGCUUCCCUCGCUCCGCUGUCACUGCAGUCGCCCACCAGCUGGAGACACUGUCACUGCCGCCCCCACUGCAGCCAGGACACGGAGCUGCUACCGGAGCCAACCCCCCUGCCCAGAGCCAAUGUUGACACCUCCACCAGAGCACAGGAAGGGCCAGAGCGCGGGAGGAAACGCUGCUACUGUCUCCCUCUUCUGGACACCAGAGCCACCUGCCGCCGCCACCACGUGCAGAGCACAAGAGCCAAAGCCGCCAUCGCCAUUCUUAGCGAUUAAGGAGCCGCCGCCGGCAUCACCUAAUCGCUGGAGCCACGACGCCACCUUCUCGGACUCCAGGAACAGGAGCCGCUGCCAGAGCACAGGAGCCACUGAACGCUGGAGCCACGGCCGGCCUCGGUGAGUUCAGAGCUGCCCAGGACAGGACCCAUUCCAAAAGGACGCUGCGCAAGGCUUGGCCAUGGCCGUUAGGCAGCGGGAAGGACAGCCUCCGUCACUCCCACCGCGAGUUCACCCGCGCAUUCCUGGCUGCUCCCCCAGGGGCAGAAACCCAGCAGAAGAUGUGGAGCACCUUGAAGAAGGAGAAAGUGAUGUCCGAAGACCCUGAGAGACUUGCCUAAGUCACAGAGCUGGAAUAUGGAAAGCUUCUCUCACUCCAGGGAUCACAGUGUACAAAAGAAAUUUGUGUACCUUAUGAAGUUUUUCUUGUUGUUGGAAAUAGGUUUAUGUAUGGGGAGCUGACUCAUAAAGACACAAUUGAAAAGGUGUGGCAAACCUUUGAGAAAUAUGAGAUGAAUUCCUAUGAAAUUCUGAGGUACAAGAAAAACAGUGAGUAGUCAAACCAUUCUCAAUCAUACCUUUAUGUGCUUGUAAUAGCAAAAUCUCUCCUGCUCCUCUAUUAUUGUCUUGUGUUUUCUUUCUCAUCAAGUGAAUGCAAUUACUUAAAGCCAUUGUAUAUAUUCGGAUAAAUAUAUGAUUGAUCAGUUACACUUCUCCUCACAGGAACAUUUGAUGAACUUCUUGUCAUUAACCUGUUAAGACUUCUUCAUCUAUUUUGCUGACAAGAGUUAGUGUUCUUCCUAUGGGUUUCCUUAUGGUGAGAUGCUGGCUUAAGGCUCUUGUAGACUUUAAGCUUCUUAAAGGGGGAGGGAUGAAGUAGGAUAGAAACUGUUCAAUUUACCUUUGUUUCUAUCUUCCACAGUGCCUGUAGAGCAGCAAUAACUUCACUAGGUGCCCAAUUAAGUUUUCAAAUAAAAUUUUGUUCUUCUCAUGACCUUAAGAGAGAGUAUUAACAAUAAUGCAUUGUUUAUUUGUAUUUGUUUUGGUUACUCUUAUUUCCAUAAAGUGUGUUAAUGAGAUUUUUAGUUCAUUCCCCACUUAUAAGUAUGAAACUUGCUUUUCUCUUAAGAAAUUUCUUGUCAAUAGAGAGCUAUAUUAAUUUUUAUGGAAUGUGAAUACAUGGUCUUAGCAGGCAUUUGGAGAUGUUAAAUAGUGCUUUGUUUCUGUUUUUAAAACACUAUUUUGUUUGUAAAGAGUCGUGUUUUUAUAUGUAGGGUUGACUGGUAGGUUUUUGAUUCAGUAGAACAUUCCAGAAUGGCCCAGAUGGGCACAAAGAUAAGUGUUAAUUUGGUGGUGUAUUUAGGUAUGAGUGAUUCUUCACUCUGGAAAGCAAACGGAACUUGUUGCUUUAUCUGGAAGGAGCUUGGACUCUUUUGUUCUGUCUGAACUGUUGGAGCAACUGAGAGGACUGUUUGCUUGGUGGCCUGUGUAGAUACUGAUCUGAGAAAUGAUCCAUGACCUUCAAUAAGUUCAAGGGGGCUGUUCCCAUACCUUACAUUCUGCUCUAGCUUCCUCGCUCAGCCAGUAGGUCUUGUUUCUGUCCCACUUUUAGCUAUAAAAGGAAAGAGGGAAAAGAUGGUGAGAGGCUACAUACAAGUCCUUCUCCAUGGGUGAGCACAG
Long non-coding RNA from Marmota monax (woodchuck), 2464 nucleotides. RefSeq lists it as uncharacterized. The transcript has 3 exons. NCBI's taxonomy places the organism in Eukaryota, Metazoa, Chordata, Mammalia, Rodentia, Sciuridae. The record is from RefSeq and is a predicted model, not a curated record.